GUGCUGCUGAGGUGUCCAAUACUAGGACGAAACGGCCGUCCAGUGU
Molecule: non-coding RNA, 46 nt
Organism: Schistosoma haematobium
Lineage: Eukaryota; Metazoa; Platyhelminthes; Trematoda; Strigeidida; Schistosomatidae
Source: Rfam